Molecule: ribosomal RNA, 497 nt
Filed under: uncultured bacterium
Lineage: Bacteria
Description: partial 16S ribosomal RNA
Rfam family: Bacterial small subunit ribosomal RNA
Source: RNAcentral
GAUGAACGCUGGCGGCGUGCCUAAUACAUGCAAGUCGAGCGAACGGACGAGAAGCUUGCUUCUCUGAUGUUAGCGGCGGACGGGUGAGUAACACGUGGAUAACCUACCUAUAAGACUGGGAUAACUUCGGGAAACCGGAGCUAAUACCGGAUGAUAUUUUGAACCGCAUGGUUCAAAAGUGAAAGACGGUCUUGCUGUCACUUAUAGAUGGAUCCGCGCUGCAUUAGCUAGUUGGUAAGGUAACGGCUUACCAAGGCAACGAUGCAUAGCCGACCUAAGAGGGUGAUCGGCCACACUGGAACUGAGACACGGUCCAGACUCCUACGGGAGGCAGCAGUAGGGAAUCUUCCGCAAUGAGCGAAAGCCUGACGGAGCAACGCCGCGUGAGUGAUGAAGGUCUUCGGAUCGUAAAACUCUGUUAUUAGGGAAGAACAUAUGUGUAAGUAACUGUGCACAUCUUGACGGUACCUAAUCAGAGAGCCACGGCUAACUACGUG